Molecule: ribosomal RNA, 756 nt
Filed under: Glomeromycotina sp. OTU17 DJMC-2012
Lineage: Eukaryota; Fungi; Glomeromycota
Description: eukaryotic LSU rRNA
Rfam family: Eukaryotic large subunit ribosomal RNA
Source: RNAcentral
GGAAAAGAAAAUAACAAUGAUUCCCUCAGUAACGGCGAGCGAAGAGGGAUAAGCUCAANUUUUAAAUCUGUUGGGUUCCACUUAACAGAGUUGUAUUUUGAAGAAACGUUUUCUGCGUCCAGGAUUAGCCUAAAUCCUUUGGGAUAAGGUAUCAUGGAGGGUGAGAAUCCCGUUCAUGGUUAAUCUUAAGGAAGCUCUACGAUACGUUUUCCAAGAGUCGAGUUGUUUGGGAUUGCAGCUCAAAAUGGGAGGUAAAUUUCUCCUAAGGCUAAAUAUUGGCGAGAGACCGAUAGCGAACAAGUACCGUGAGGGAAAGAUGAAAAGAACUUUGAAAAGAGAGUUAAACAGUACGUGAAAUUGUUGAAAGGGAAACGAUUGAAGUCAGUCAUACCAACGGGAAAUCAACCUUUUGAGCUCGGUCUCGUGGGUUUUGAAGAGUUUCAAAGCCUUCGGAUUCGCGGGAUUGGGAUCUCUUGGUGUACUUUUUCGUACGGUUAGUCAACAUCGGUUUUGAAUGUCAUAAAAUGACUGGAGGAAUGUAGCUUCGAUCUCGUAUUGAAGUGUUAUAGCCUUUGGUAGAUGUGAUGUUUGAGACCGAGGAUUGCAACGGAUACCCUUCAGGGCUAUUCGUCUGAUCUCUGAUACGUUGCCUUGAUGUUGAAAGCUUGCUUAUGAUGUUAGGGUAUUACGGUCAAAAGGUUAGAACGAAUUACAUUCGUUAAGGAUGUUGACGUAAUGACUUUAAACGACCCGUCU